This 37172-nucleotide long non-coding RNA is filed under the name Ananas comosus (pineapple). RNAcentral's name for it is "long non-coding RNA (ACOM_LNC005825)". Lineage: Eukaryota; Viridiplantae; Streptophyta; Magnoliopsida; Poales; Bromeliaceae. The record is from RNAcentral.
UAAAUUUGUAGGUAUUGGUACUAAUUUUUCUUACCCAAAAAAUUAUGAAUAGAACGAGCGACACUACAACAAAAACGGUCUAUAGCGACACUUUUAAAUGUAGGCACAUGUCAAAAAAGUGCUGCUAGCUAAAAUUACCGACACUUUUAAAAAGUGUUGCUAUAUGUGGGGUCGCUAGGUAUAUAGUGACAGUUAAAGAGUGUCGCUAUAACCUAAAAGAGUGCUGCUAAUUUAUCAACACUUAUUUAAGCAUUUAGCAACCGUCGAAACUCUAUCUCGUUGGCUGCGGUGGCGGAGGAGGACGACAGUAAAGGCUCUUCGUCUAGAAUUUCAGUGGAUUGAGUGAUGAGAGAAGAAAAGAUGGUAAUUGAUUUUUCUUUUUUUUUUUCUUUUCUGUUUGUAAUCGGGCCAAAUGGACUGGGUGUGGUGGGUUGAGUAGAGUAAUCUUUUAUUUUUGGUUGAAUUGGGCUUUAUAUUUAGGUAUUAGUAUAUGUGUUUUUAAGUUUUAGCAUAAAUGGGAUACUUACUCAAAAGUGUCCCAAACAUGUGUCCCUAUAACCUAAUUCUGUUGUAGUGCGAGUAUUCAUUAAAUUAUAAAAAAUUUGGACAACCCACAUGUACGUACCCACAAGUAGUACCCAUAUAUAUAAUAUCUUUAAAAAAAAUGAAAAAUGAAUAAUUCUUUUGUUUUACUCGUCUCUAGAACCCUAACACUAAUUUCUGUUAAUGUUAUUUUUAAAUUUUUAUUAUGUACUAUCUGUUGGGAUAUUGUACACAAUAAGAUAACUUUUAAUCUUAAAACUAAUUAUAUAUUUAAUUUGUAUAAUUGAAAAAUAUAAGAACCGAAAAGGGAAAAAAAUUGUGAGUAAUCUGCAUACCCUGGUCGAUCCGCGGACUAUUGUGGGUAAGAAUGAAUGAUGACUGCACUGAAUUUAGGCACUUGCAUAAUUCGCAGGUAAAGAUGGCUCGUCCUGUCGUCCACUGAUUGCCCAACCAACACUACAUGAAACAGUGUCGUUUCAACGUCGUAUUCGAACUACGUGGACCAUCGGAUACGUGGUGUAUGGAAAUGCGCACCUGAUCGUUGUCAAAAAUUUGUCGUGUAAGAGCGGAAAAACUCGGUGUGUUUCGACCACACACCUGCUUGGUUCGAGGGCAGCGACAAAGAGAGCACUGUCUCGUCGUUUCUUCUUUUCUUAUCGCCUUCGCCCUCGACACGCAAAGCUCGUGCAUUUCCUUCGUGAAAUGAUUGCAUAUGAUCGAUGUUCACGCAAACCCAUGUGACAUGUCAAUGAAAGCUACAUUCUAGCUAGGAAGGGAAAACUUCGUAGCCCCUUGUGGUUUCGUACUUUUUUAUUUUAAUACCUUAUGAUUUAAAGUGUAUCAAAUUAGUACCCUUUGGUUUCUCACUUCAUCAUUUUAAUACUAUGUGGUUUAAAGUGUAUCAAGUUAGUACCCUGUGGUUUUAUUUUUGUAUCAAGUUAGUACCCUGUGGUUUAAAGUGUAUCAAGUUAGUACCAUGUGGUUUCUCACUUUAUCAUUUUAGUACACUGUGGUUUAAAGUGUAUCAAGUUAGUAUUUUAUAAUUUUAUUUGUAUCAAGUUAGUAUCCUGUGGUUUUAUUUUUGUAUUAAGCUAGUACCAUGUGGUUUAAAAAACCACAGGGUACUAAAGUGAUAAAAUGUGAAACCACAGGGUACUAACUUGAUACACUUUAAACCACAGGGUACUAAAGUGAAAAAGUGCAAAACCAUAUGUACUAACUUGAUACAUUUUAAACCACAGGGUACUAAAGUAAGAAAAAGUGAAACCACAAGGAUAAUAUAGGAUAAUAUAGGAUAAUAUAGCCUAAAAUUAAAUAGGAUAAUAUAGCGUCAUAAUAUAUAAAUAAAUUAUAAGAUAGUAUAUUGUUAUAAUUUAUAAAUUUUAUAAUAAUAAGUAAAACUUAUAUAUUGAUAAAAAUUGAGCUUCUAUACUUUUAAAAACAUAAAGUCAUAAGUGCUCUAGAUUUUCGGCCUUUUGAUAAAGUUUUGUAGGGUUAGGAUAAUAAUAGUUGGCUCCAAUAGAGUUGAAUGAUUGGUUGAUGGAAUAGCAUACUUUAAGGAGUAAAAUUAGUCGAAGGAAUAGAUCUAAUGAUGAAAAACUUAUAAUUAAUCAACAAAUAGUUUGUGCUUUUAAAAGCAUCGUAGCCGGACUCUAUUAGUAAUAUGUUAUAUUUUAUUAUUCUAUAAUUUAUAAAAUAUGCACUUUGUAAUUAGGGAUGCAAAUGAAACCCAAUUGAUAGAGUUCCCGCUAUGAUAUGUAUAAGGCGGCAAGUGAAGGCCAAGCGAAAUCUGAUUGAUAGAGAUCCUAUUAUGAUCCACCUCGAAUAUAUAAGGCGGUAAGUGGAGACCAAAAAAAAAAAGGAAGAAAGUCUUCUAAUUCGCCCUAAUCCGCUUAAAAAAUAGAGAGGGAGGCGGAAGAGCUCUUUCUUCCAUUAUCCGUACCUAAUCCAUUAAAAAUUCGCUCAUAUCCGGACCCACCCCGAAUGUAGCAGUAAUUAAGUAGGAGAAAAAGAUUGAAUAAAAAUCAACCCGUCUCAAAACAGUCCGGACCGCUAAGAAAACGAGGCAGAAGGUGGGGGGACCUGAUCUCCCCCUUUCGGCUCCAACCAGUUUUCAACCCUACUUGUAAUUUGUAAAUUGUAAUACUUUACUUAUUUAUUUAAUAAUAGAUUUUUAUGAUUAAAAAUAAGUAUCAAAUUGAAUCUCUUCAAAUCACAAUUCGCAAAGUAAAUUUGUAGUAGACUAUAAUGGCUAAUUGAAGUUACCCAGAAAAUAUUCUCAGCCAAUUUUGAAGUGAGUGGUGUUAAUAAUAGAUAGUAAUUUACUAAUAGCAAUUAAAUUGGUUUAGUAAAUUUGAUUAUCAUGCACAUAAUUAUUGAUUUUGAUUGGAUUUAACAAAUCUAAUUUGCCAGAUAAAAUCGUAUUGAAUUAAAAUAAUUAAAAAUUAAAAGCAUUUUUUUUUUACAUACAAGUUUAUAUUUUAAUUUGACAUUUCCAAAAAUUUAGUCACCAACCAAUAAACUGAAAUUGGUGGCCUGAAAAACUGAAUAUUAGUUUCCAUUUAACCACUCAUUUUUGUUGUAAAUUCUCUGUAAUUUUUCCAAAAUAAAGCAUUUCGUGAUGCUUGAUUCAACUCUACUUUGGAAUCAUCUUUUAGGGAUAUCAUGAUAAUCGAAUUAGCUAAUUAGAGAAAUUUUACCAAAUUUAAUAGAGCAGCUUAAAUGAAAUAAAAUUUUUGUUCAUGUAUCAAUUAAUGGCAACAAGUUAAAAGAGUUUUUACUUUUUGACAAAAAAUUUUUCACUUGACCUAUUGGUUUCCUUGAAAUUGAUCUAACCUUACUCUCUAAAUGAACAAUUAAUCAAAAUGGAAAUUAACAUACCAAAUUAAUCAAAAUUUUUGUUCAUGUAUCAAUUAAUGGCAACAAGUUAAAGAGUUUUUACUUUUUGACAAAAAUGUUUUCACUUGACCUAUUGUAUUCCUUGAAAUUGACCUAACCUUACUCUCUAAAUGAACAAUUAAUCAAAAUGGAAAUUAACAUACCAAAUUAAUCAAUCCACCUAAUUUGUUUCCAUUCCAUUACAAUUAUAAGCUUUACAAAAACAAAGCAAGCUUCCUCAUCACAUCACAUGCAUGUACGUACACUCCAUGUACAACAUCUAGCUAAUUUAAUGGAGGAAAUUAACAACAUGCAUGUACGUACGUACGUACGUAACACCCAAACCUGUGAUCCCGAAUCUCAAAGCGCCGUCAAGGAGUUCAUCAUCAUCAUGGCCUUAAACUCCUCAAAAUCGACCACCCCGUCCCCAUUCCUAUCCACCCCUCUUAUCAUAAGCCGGCACUCUUUCAGACUACACCUGCGCCCCAACCCGGCCAACACCCGCCGCACCUCCUCUGCCGAAAUGUAUCCGUUGCGGUCGGCAUCGAACACGCGGAACGCCUCCCGGAGCUCCUCCUCCUCGUCGACGCCCGCGCCCCUUUCCGACACCGCCCGCAUGAACUCGUCCAAAUCGAUGAACCCGUCGCCAUCGCAGUCCGCCUCCCGCACCAUCCCCUCCGCCUCCCGCGCUACCGUCGACCUUGCGAAAACAACCGACCCAUCGGUCCAAACGUAGUUUCAGCUACGUACUAAAUAACGGUGUUCAAAUAUUAAACUUGUAAUCGAUAUUCCGCCUCACAUCUGUGUUCAAGAUUUUUUAAUUUGCCUAAAAUAUGUACUUUGUUAGUUAAUUGGAUUAUUUCUGAACUAUUGCCUAUCAAAUGGAUCUACUAGGCAGUAUUAUUUCAGAGCAGUAGGUGUUAAAUUUGAAUUUCAACCCACGGGCAACCUCAUUUAAUUUUAAUUUAAGCUGUUAUUUUGAGCUUUUCAAAAUAUUUUGAGUCUAGCUAGAUAUGAGAAAAAAUAUUGAAUAUAUAUAUAUAUAGAGAGAGAGAGAGAGAGAGAGAGAGAGUGCGGCUAGGAUGCUUAUGGAAGUACGGAGGGCUCCGUGCUUCCACUUUGUUUUCGAUGUUCGGACUUUCGAAUCGACGAUCGGCUCCGUUAGACUUGAUCUAGAGUAUUUGAAGUAUCUAGAAAAUAAAUUUUGCGAUUUUUCGAUAUCAUUUGCCUAGUGAUCGAAGUGGCUCAAAAUCAACGGCUGAAAAUAAAAAUCUUACAAAAUAUGAUGAUAAGACAUUAAAAUUUUAAACCAAAAUUAUUAAUCUUGUUUUAUAUGGUAUAAAUAAUUUUCUAUCAAAAUUUCAUGUGAUUUGAAUAUUUCUAUACCGUUAAACUUGCAACCGGCUCACCACAACCGUUAAAAUUAUUGAUUUUGAGCCCCUUCGAUCACUAGGCAAAUGAUAUCGAAAAAUUACAAAAUUUAUUUUCUAGGUACUUCAAAUACUCUAGAUCAACUCUAACGGAGCUGAUCGUCGAUUCGAAAGUCCGAACAUCGAAAACGACUUGGAAGCACGGAGACCUCCGUGCUUCCAUAAGCAUACCAGCACAACUCUCUCUCUCUCUCUCUCUCUCUCUCUAUAUAUAUAUAUAUAAUUAAGCUUCUAUGCUUUUAAAAGUAUAAAGUCAUUGGUGCUUGUAAGCUUUCGACUCUUGGAUUAAGAAAUGUGCGAUUAGAAUAAUGUGGGCCCUCUAGGGUUGAGUGGUUAGUUGGUUGAAUAGUAUAAUCUAACGGGUGAAAAUGAUAUAUAUAUAUAUAUAUAUAUAUAUAUAUAUAAAUUGUCUAUCGAGCUAAAGAUUUUAGGGCACGUUUAGUUCAAAAUAGCAAUUGAAAUCGGCAUAGACCGGAAUGGAAAUGAGUUGUAAUCGAAAAGAGAAUGAUAAAAAUAAUUAACAAUUUGUUUGGUUCAUUAAAAAAAUCGAAAUCAAAAUUAUAUUCAAAUUAAAAAAUUUAUUAAAUUUAAAUUUGUUACUCAAAUGUAUAGUCAAAAUUUGAAUUCAAAUAUGAACUUAUAAUUUUAAACUUAAAAUUUGUGAAUAUACAAUUCAAGUUCAAGGUCAAAGUCAAAAUUUAAAUUUAAAACCAUUAAAUUAAAAUUAAAAAAUUAAAUUUAUUGAAUUUAUUUUUAAAAUUUUAUUUGACUUCAAAUAGUUAUUAGUGGAAAAAAAAAAACAAAAAAGAAUCCUCAAUCGGAAUCAAAACUAACUCCCACCUGUACGGUGGGAGUCACUUUUGACUUUCGAGGGAUUCGAAUCCACCGUGAUGAUGAGAAUCCAAAAUGCUAAAUAAAUCCCUCCAUUUAAAUACUAAUUAACAGUAAGAAGGGUACUUAUUUCAAUUUUCAUUCUAAGUCUCAAAUAUUUCAAAUCAAACCUACCCUUAUUAAGAUUAUUUCUGUGCUUCACAUAUUUGAAUUAAAUAAAAAUAAAUUGAAUAAAACUAGCUAGGAGUAAAAUUUGAGCUCGAAAACACUGACUCUGAUACCAUAUUGAAAAACGACUUAUUAUUACUCUAAACUUAAGCUAGAUACCGGAGCAACGGUGUUUUAAUAUUUUAUAUUCAACACGCGAUACCUCUCGUGGCCGAGACGGAGCAUGAUGUCGCGGAGCUCCCCCGCGGAGAUCUUGCCGUCGCCGUUGGAGUCGAUGAGGUCGAACACUCGCCGCAGUUGGUUCGGAAGCUCCGCCGCCGCGGCGGCGGCGGCGGCGGCGGGGGAGGCUGCUGAAGAGAUCCACUUGAAGUUGCUGCUGGCUCUUCUCCCCCUCCUGCUCACGGCCUUGAAUUUUUGCAAAAAACCCCCUACCUUUUCCGGAGAGAACAUUUUCCCUUCAAGGAUGAGGAGGAGUUGUUAGGGGGGGAGAGAGAGAGAGAGAGAGAGAGAGAGAGAGAGUAGAUGGGCUAGAGCCUAGAGGGAGGAAGAGGAGGAGAGAGAGGCCAUGGGAGGAGGAGUGUGAGGAGUGGGUGGUGGGUGCAUGUGAGAGGGAUUGAAUUGGUUGCUAGUUUUAUAAGAGAGAAAUUAUUGCCGAGACCUGAUCCACCAUGCUAACAAAAAAAAAAUAAAAAAAUAAAAAAAAGAGUUCAGAAAUAGUCUUUUAAUAAUAGAUCCCACUCAUGUGCACAGCGAAGAUCAGGUGAAUAGCACGCACAAGCAGAAGAAGCAGUGAGAAAAAUUAUACUAUUUUGUAUCACCCUCAAACGACAGAUAUAAUUAAAAGAUAGGAGGCAAUUAUUUUUAUGUUCUUGAAAAGUUUUCGAUUUUUUAAUUUUUCUCUCUUAGAAUGCUAAUAUUGAAAAAAAAAAAUUUACAUUACAAUUUAUUUUAAAUAUAAAAUCUGUUAUUGAACUAUUAGUAAUAACUGUUAUUUAUAUAAAAUUACUAUUAUACCCUUUCAAAUAUACCCUUCUACUAUUACCAACUUUUUUUAAAUUGGGGACACAAAAAGUAUUUUAUUUUUUGAUUUUUUCAAAUAUGCUUUUGUACCAUCACCAAUAUUUCUUAUUUGUUCUUAAGUUAAGGGCAAAAAAGAUAUUUUGAUUUUUUUAACUCUGAUAACUAUUAAACUCAUGUUUAAGCUAAGUUAACUUAAAGGGGUGGUAAUUGUAGGGAUAUUUUGAAAUAAUAGAGGAACAUAUGACGAGUAUAUUGAAAAGAAAAAAAAAACAAAAGUAAGGACACAUGAAAUAUUUUCGAAGUUUUAAGAAGUAUAUAGGCAAUUAUCUCUAAAAGAGAUAUCUAAAAUCUCCUUAAGGGUGCGUUUGGUUCGCGCUAUCCUUUUAAGAUUCCUAGUAAUCCAAUAGGAAUAAAAAAAUAUGACGGUAUUUGACUAAACGCACUAAAUAAUCUAGUUAGUAAUACUAGAUUUACUUGGAAAUGAGAUGCAUCCUAAAGUACUAAUCUCAUUUCUUUGAGGAAUGGUGGGUAUCCUUUUAUUAAUGGAUUAGAGUAAUUAUAAUAUGUCUAAUCUUUUUUUUCUUCCCACCCGCCAGAUAGUUGGUAUUAUUUUUCUUUACACUCUAACCUCAUCUCUCUAAACUUAUCUUUUUUUUUCUAAACUUCAACUCUUUUUCUCUCUCUAAAUUAAGCUAUUUCUCCCUCUCCUUUUCUAAAAUCUCAACCCUCUCAUUCUUUCUAACCUUGACUCUAUUUCUCUUCUAUUUCUUUAAUUAUGCUUUUUCUUUCUAACCUAUAUUCUCUCUCUAGGAAUAAAAUUCUCAUAUAUCUUUUUACUUCUCAUAAUCUUUCAUAGUGCGAAUCAAACGCACCCUAAAAAUAGGUGGUUUUAGAAUAACUGAGAUAAAAGAAAGAGCAAUUCAGAAAUAUAUAUAGUCUUGAUAAAAAAUAUUGAUAAAAUCUAACAUUCUAUACAUAUUGUUGAGCUUGUUGAAAAGCUCCAAUUACUAGCUAGCUAAUCAGAAAAACUAGUUCGGAGACUAAUUAGAAAUUUUUUUUUAAAAAAAAUAAGGCAUAAAUUAGAGUUUGCAUACAAUUUUAAAUUUAUUCAAACCAAUCCAAAACUUAAUUUACGGAGAUGCUCUUACACAAAAGGUUUUUUUGAGAAAUAGGCAGCAAGUUACCUGCUUCACUUCUCUUACACAAAAGUUACAAAUGACCCCACCCAAUGAAUAGUGAGAGUGGGCUGGUAUGCUUAUGGAAGUACAGAGCUCUUCGUGCUUCCAAGUUGUUUUCGAUGUUCGGACUUUCGAAUCGACUAUCGGCUCCGUUAAAGUUGAUCGAAAGUAUUUGAAGUACCUAGAAAAUAAAUUUUGUGAUUUUUCAAUAUCAUUUGCCUAGUGAUCGAAGGGGCUCAAAAUCAAUAAUUUUAACGGCCGUGGUGAGCCGGUUGCAAGUUUAACGGUGUAGAAAUAUCCAAAUCACAUGAAAUUUUGAUAGAAAAUUCUUUAUACUAUAUAAAACAAGAUCAAUAACUUUGAUCUAAAAUUUUAUUGUCAUAUCAUCAUAUUUUGUAAGAUUUUUAUUUUCAGCCGUUGAUUUUGAGCCACUUCGAUCACUAGGCAAAUGAUAUCGAAAAAUCGCAAAACUUAUUUUCUAGAUACUUCAAAUACUCUAAAUCAAGUCUAAUGGAGCCGAUCGUCGAUUCGAAAGUCCGAACAUCGAAAACAAAGUGAAAGCACGGAGUCUUUCGUGCUUCUAUAAGCAUCCUAGCCGCACUUGAAUAAUGAAUAUAUAUACGGAACUACUAUUCUUAGGACCUGUCCACAGUGGACCUGGCCCACGCAACAGUUUCUACUUAUUGAAAAGCAAGCGCACUUAUUGGAUGGUACUCGAUGGGCCCCACAUGGGCCAGCAAAUUAGGUACGAAGUUUGGUGGGGUUUUGAUGGAGAGGAGUAAAAUUUUUUAAAUUUUAAUUUUAAUUUUACGUCCGGGUGUUGAUGAGGGUCUUUUGGUUGAUUGAUGAUCUUCCGAUGCUUGCUGGAUUGGAGAAAAGUGUUGGCGAAAGUGACGUUGGCAGAUCCCACCGCCGUAGGGGUAGGUGUUAUCUUGUUCACGGUCAAAAUGCAUGAAUGGUCCUUGUCCAACCCUGAUAUUGCAAAACCUCUCUUUUUUUUAUAAUUAUAAACGAUGCCAGGGACUAAAUUUAGUAUAUGUGAAAAUAAGCGAGAAAAGUUUCUUUUUUUUUUUUUUGAGAGAUAGGUAGCACGCUACCCGCUUCAUUUAUUUCAUUUAGAAAUAAACUUAGCUAGAAAUGUGAAUCAACUAGAAUUCAAACUUGGAUCUCGGAUACCAACCACCAAACCUUUUGCCAAUUGCUCUAGGGACGGUCGAUGAGAAAAAUUAGUAUAAUAUUUUUCAGUCUCCCUGAAGUACCUGAAGUAACAUAGAGGUAUUUUUCUAUAUGUUUUUGGUUAGAUAUAAUUAUAAACGCAGUGUAGUUGAAGAUAUAUGCAUGUAGUGGCAAAGGGCUUGAUAGUUGGUAUCUGAAAUUUUAAGUUCGAAUUCUAGUUGAUUUAUAUUUCUAGUUAAGUUUAUUUCUAAAUGAAAUAAACGAGCUACCGAUCUCCCUUAAAAUAUAUAUAUAUAUAUAUAUAUAUAUAUAUAGAUACGAUAGAGAGAGAGAGAGACGAGAGAGAGAGAGAGGAGAGAGAGUGAGUGAGUGAGUGAGUGAGGCUACUAUGCUUCUAAAAGCACGGAGCUUCCGUGCUUCCAAGUUGUUUUGAGUGUGCACUUCGAAUCGUCGAUCGGCUCAGUUAAACAUCGAUUAGAGUAUUGAAGUACCUAGAAAAUAAAAUUUGCAUUUUUCGAUAUCAUUUGCCUAAGUGAACUAAGGGCUCAAAAUCAACGGCUGAAAAUAAAAUCUUACCAAAAUGUGAUACUAUGACAUUAAAAUUUUAGAUCAAGAUAUUGAUCUUGUUUUAUAUAGUAUAAAGAAUUUUCUAUCAAAUUUCACGUGUUUGAAUAUUUCUACAACCGUUAAACUUGCAAACGGCUCACCACGGCCAUUAAAAUUAUUAAUUUUGAGCCCCUUCGAUCACUAGCAAAUGAUAUCGAAAAAAUCUAAAAUUUAUUUCUAAGUACUUCAAAUACUCUAGAUCAAGUUAAUGGAGCCGAUCACGAUUCGAAUGUCCAACAUCAAAAACGACUGAAACACAGAAGGCCCGUGCUUAAAGCUCCGUGCUUCCAGAAGCAUAGUAGCCUCACUCUAUAGUAUAUAUAUAUAUAUAUAUAAUAGAAUAGAAUACUUGUAAAAGUCAACCACAAGUGAUACUUGUGUGUUUUUAGCCCUUGGAUGGAGAUGUGAGGUUGAGAUGAUGGUGGUAGGUGGAUGGUAGGUGGAAUAGUGUUUGAUCCAGGACUAUUAGUAAUCCAAAAAGUAGAUCCAAUGGCUAAAAACACACAAGUAUCACUUGGUGAUACUUGUAAAAGUAUUCUAGCCCUACUCUAUAUAUAUAAUAUAUAUAUAUAUAUAUAUAUAUAUAUAAUAUAUAUAAUUUUGAAUAUAGUAUAAUAUAUAUAUAUGCAUGCAGCUGAAAAUAUAGUAAUUACAACUACAUGUAUUCUGUUUGGUUGGAUGUACUAGAAAAUAGUGCAAUUACAAAUAAUUUGUUUGGUUGAAUGCAGUUGAGAAAUAAUUUUUAAAUUAUUAUCAUUUUAUAUAUAUGAUGGUGAGAUUAUCUCCAAUGUAAAAAGAAAUUUUUUUUUUGUUUAAAAAAUAAUUAGGGCGGUAAGCUUACCUUUUAUUUAAAGUUAUUCUCUCCAACUGUUGCAAUUAGAACUGCGAUCAAUUUGAGCAUAGUUUCAACUGUUGCAAUUGGGUCUCCUCCAACAUGCAAUUCCUACUGCAACAGUUUGAGUUAAAUAUAUCAAACUAAACAUCAAAUUUGUAUUUGUAAGUACAGUUGCACGUGUAACCAAAAGAUCACUAAUUACAUUAGCUCUACAGCAGCACAGAAGCUUAAGUAAAAGAUGUAAAAAUUAUUUCUUCAGGAAUAAUAUUUAGUAUGACCUCUAAAAGUUAAGAAUUAUUUAAUAUACUUUUUGGUAGACCAAAAUGUUGUUUGGAUUUUUAAAAAAUUUCUUAAAAUAUUACAAAAACUUAAAGGUUCUCUAAUAGAAUUAAAUUUUAUCAGGGUAUUUAGAAUAUUAAAAAAUAUAUUUAAAAAUUCUGAAUAAUAGUGGGUGAUAAAUAAAGAAAAGCUUCUCUCUUUCAGAUAGCAUGGUACCAAAGUUGGUUUACAUUAUGGGUGGCAAUCCAGCUCGCUGUUCAUCAGCCAACUCGUGUUCGAUUUGAAAUGAGCUUGAGAUCGAAUCGCUCAUUUAAUAAAUCAGCCAAAUACGAACUAAAUUUUUCAGCUCGUUUAAUAAACAAGCUGAACACAAACUGGAAUAAGCUCGCUCAUGUUCGGCUCAAUAACAACUCGAAUAUAUAUAUUUUACAUUUAUAUAUUUUAUGCUUAUAUAUAAAUAAAUCAUUAUGUAUAUAAUACAGAUUUUUAAUGUUUCAUCUUUAGUCCAAUCUAAAUAUAAAAUCCAACUCAAUUAUAAAAAAGACUCAUUUAUAUAUAAAAUUUCAACGGUUAGAUCAAAGUCUAGUGGAUGAAAUUUUAUAAAUUUAUUUUCAUACAUAUCCUUUCUAAUCCUUUUAGUUUGUUGUUCGUGAGCCAGCUCGAACAUAACCUGAAUUUUUCAGCUCGAUACUUUAAAGUUCGGCUUUUUUUUGAAAUGAAUCAAACACGAGCUACCCCAGCUACCUCGUGUUAGGCUUCUUUUCCUUCUUUUUUUUUGAAAGAUAGGUAGCAUCCUAUCCGUUUCGUUUAUUUCAUUUAGAAAUAAACUUAGCAAGAAAUGUGAAUCAAUUGGGAUUUGAACUUGAGACCUCAUGUACCAAUCAUUAAGCCUUUUGCCACUUACGCUAGGAACGGCCGGUCGUGUUAGGCUUGUUGACACCCCUAGCUUACAUCUCGCCCAGGUUUAGUGACCAAAAAGUAGAGGGACCAAAUUAUAAUAUUGCAACAAUUUAGGGACUAACCACACAGUUUAAAAAUUGUUGCAACUUCCAACCUGCCCUACCGGAUCUCAAAAUUAGGAUGUGGGUGGAUACAGGAUACCCGAAUUUUACCUGUAUGCAAACCCAAAGGAUGCUUAUUUAAUAGAGAUACUAAAUAGAUAUAAUUUUGAUUAUAAGUAUAAAAAAUAAAAGACAGGGAUUUACUUAUGGCUUCAAUCUAUACCUGAUUUGAAUCUAAAGCCGAAACCUAACCUGAAUCUGAACCAAUUCAGAACGGAUUUUAUACAAUAUAAUAUAUAGAAAUUUAAAUUUAUACUUUAAAAUUUAGUAAAACUAAAUAAUUGCUUUCGGAUUCGGAUUUUUGGAUGCGGCCUAAGGUAUCGGCUUUUUUUUUUCUUGUAAUUCAAUUUUUGUUAUGUACUUCCGAAAGGUUCGGAUUUGAAUUUCAUCUCAAAAUAGAGGCAUUAUUGUUGCCGGACAAUAUUUUAUGGAUAUAUUCUCCGAAUAAAAAUUAUUUGGGAAUUUGUCCGAAUGGACAUCAGAUGGCGAGUGGCAUCCAUCCCAACUGUCCAGUAAAAAAUAAUUUUAUUUGAAAACUAUGUUCAUAAAAUUUUUGUUAAUUAUCGCACACAAUGGUUGUAUGGAUAGAUCUCAUGUACUGUUGCUGAAAAUUACUGCAAUAGAGACCUCAUUUUAAAUUCUAAUUUAUUUAUUUGAAGCACUUUUAUGUAUCAAAAAAUUAAAAAAUUUGGACAUCAUAUUCAUAUGAAUCAAAUUCUAAAUUCUUGAUUUAUGUAAAACGCGUACCCCAAAUGAUUAAAAAAUUCAUGUCCAAAUCCUAACCCAAACCCAAAUGAUUAAAACAAUUCAUGUCCAAAUCCUAACCCAAUGUAAAAUCGAAAAUCCAAACCUGAAUCCAAAAAUUCAAGUCUGAAACAAUUAAUUCUCUUUACCAUAUAUAUUAAAAUUUAAAAUUUUAAAACACAAGUUCAAACAUAACAUCAAAUAUUUAUAUAUAUUAUAUAAUCUAAAAUUAAUUUUGACCUGAAUUCGAAUUAGAUUCCAAUUUGAGUCAAGUAGAGACAAAAUCAAUACUCAAAAUCCGUUGAGUUUUUAUUUUUUAUAUCCAUAUAGGAAAUCAAAUUCGUCUAGUAACUAAUAAAUCCACCCAGUUUAAAUUAGAGAUGAAAUUUCACAUAUCUGUAUUUAUUGACAUCGCUUGAGGCCACGGGAUGUCAUGUCUUAAUACAGCUGUUGGGUUAGUCUUAUGAAAUGGAUUUAUGCUAUGGGAACCCACAAAAGUACCCUAAAAAGUAUCACUAAGCUAAUGUGUUAGCUUAAUGUUUAGGAUAAACUACCUGAUUAAGUUAAAAAAAUCCACUCAUCAAAAAUAAACAUAUUUGGGAGUUUAUUGCAAACGAUAAACCUGGUGUCAAAUCAAUUAUCUAUUUACAUCUAUUUAUUUAUUUUUUUAAUUUUUUAAUUAUUAUUAUUUUUACACUGAGAAAUCAUUGCCUGCAUCCGGUCUAAAUUCAUUAUACCCACCAAAUUUAUUUUUAGGGUUAAUUUUAUAUAGAUCCCUACAAAUAUAAUAAAUUAUAAAUAUAUUUCUACAAAGUUCAACUUUUAUAUAUUAUUGUAAAAGUACUAAUGUUUUCAAAUAUGUCUCUCUGAUUUGUUACCGUUAAAAUACUAUCUAUUUUAUAAGUGAAAUCACCUUUUUAUCAUCACAAAUAUCUCCAUCCAAAAGUCCCAACUAUUUAAGAGCGAUAAAAAACUCAAUUCACCUCGUUAAUGUCACACUCCGGGACCCAGCGGAAGCCCACUCAGCACGUGCACAGACCCCCCAUGUAUACCAAACAACCACGAUGCACACAAGGCGUCUACUAAAAACUAGAAAUGAACAAGAUAAAGUCCUAAUAAGGCUAUCAGAGCGAGUAUAUAAAAUCACUAAUAUUCUAGUACAAAGAGAUCCACAAAUAUACAAAGUGUAACAACUAAAUCCAAGAGACUAACAAUAUCUCUAAAAUCAAAUACAUAAUACAUUUUUCUACAAGAUACAAAAAAGAAAGAUGAUAACGGGUCCAUCUAAAUAACUCCGUAGGAGCUCUAGCUAGUCGCUAACCCUUUGCCACGAUCCCCAGCCUCUCCCGCCGCGGAAGGCUCUGAAAUAAAAACCAACAACAAAUGAGGAUGAGAACUAUUAAACAAUAGUUCCGAGUAAGUAAGCUGCAAAGAAUGACGAAAUACACUACUAGGUCAACUGAGACAUGCUAUAAAGAGGUAAAUAAAUAGCAUAUAUAAAAGGUAAAUAAGUUAAACAUGUUUAAUCAUAGUCAUGCCUCUAUUACAAGUUUAACUAUCAUGUAUAUGAUGUUCUAAUCUCAUGUAAUCAACUAUAUGUCAAUGUUAAAACACAUGCAUGUUCAUUAUUUCAUAAUGCUACAUGUUAGUCAUUCAUGGCAUUGACACUCUAGUGGUAGUAUAUUUACAAUCGAUGUAGAUAUAAACAUGUUUAACUUNUCUAAUCUCAUGUAAUCAACUAUAUGUCAAUGUUAAAACACAUGCAUGUUCAUUAUUUCAUAAUGCUACAAGAAUAAUUAUACUUUCCAUUAUUAUUCUAUCCAUGAGUCCAUACAAUCAGUGUUGAUGUAAAUAUACUACCACUAGAGUGUCAAUGCCAUGAAUGACUAACAUAAGAUCCACAAUAUGCACUAUCAUGCAUGUCCACUAGUCCAACUAAUAUGCACCAUUCUAGUAGUAGUUUUCACAUUACGCUUUAGGUGUCAUUUUUCAAAUCCAAUCAAGGACCCACACUAGUAUAGUCCGGCUUGUGCCGACUAAUUACCCGUGGUAGCUCCAACAUUUUCACUCUAGAAAUGACUCGAUCCCACGCGGGCCCAGUACUUACACAAGUAUAGUCCGGCUUCUGCCGCCUAAUUGCCCGUGAUAGCUCUAACAUUCUCACUCUAGGAAUGAGUCUAUCCCACGCGGGCCCAGUAGACGUAUGUCGCAUAAGCUAACUCCGGAGUGCCGGCUUGUGAAGAGCGACCCUCACAAAUAUGUGCGAAUGAGCAUAAAUGGCAAGCAAGCAUGAUCAUCGUCUCAAAUACAUGGUCGUCAUGUCUCCAACAUGGUACAAAUUCUAACAACCCAAAAGUUUAGAUCUAUGUCAUAAUAUAAAGGUUAACUAUUUACUAAAUCGAAUGCCACUUAAUGACAUUAAUGAUCUCCAUGUUCAACGCAUGUCCUUCUUCAUGAGCAUGUAAAAUCUUGUCAUUUUACUAAAUAUAACAAGACUUCCAACAUAAUAUAAAGAUGCUAUUUCACAUGCAAAUUUACUAUACAAUUCUCUCUCUCUACUACAUAGAGACUAUAAUUGUGACACGUAACACAUAUGCCUUAAACAUUCAAACAUUUAUGAUGCAUCUCAUGCUCAUGCUUUUUUACCAAUGCCUCCACUACAUGAAGUGAUAAACUAUCAUACAAGUGAUUUCAUAUUAUAAUAUUUACAUGCACAUUUUCCUCCUGUCAUUCACCCAAGGGCGUUCGAAUCUCAUAUCACAUGUCCAACACAUGGAAUGCAACUAUCGAUGCCUAGAUCGAAUGCAAUAUCACAAUGUUAUAUACUAGUUGUUCCACUAGAUGAGAUUCAUCAAACAUAGUCUCAUGUUGACCCUAACAUGCUCUUUCAUCACAAUGUCAUAUUUGCCUUGUCUACCACAAGUAUACCUCAACAUGCAACUAAGUACCAAUUCUCCUUUAUUUUACAUGUCAAAGUCAUGAGGCGUAGCUAUCAAUCUCUAAGGCAAAUACAAUAUCAUAAUGUCAAACCCUAGUUAUUCCACUAGGUUAAAUACCACAUGCUUAAUUUCAUGUUUAGCCUUGUUAUUCACUAGGUCACAAUGUCACAUUACUUGUCUACACAAGUACUUUGCUCAUCAUGUGAGAUAAUCACUUUUCUAACUCAUUCACUAGUUACCCUCCAAGGUGUGUAUCAUCACUCAUAUUCUAACAUGCUUUCUAAGAUUGUAUAAAAGAGAGUUCAUUAUGUAGUGUCACUGUGUGCUCAAGUCCACAUAUAUGGCUCUACUACAUAGAGUAUGAAAUUUUUACUACACCUAACAUAUACAUAUUAUGUUCUCAUAAAUUCUAGCAUGUCAUAAUGAGCAUGAAAAAGUAUCUAUUUAUGUCUUAAAACCCAAAGGAAGACAUAGGGGAGUUCACCCAUUUUGAUGAGGUCAAACACACCGGAAGCACUUCGAACCCUUUCGUUCCUUCGAACGAAAUUGCCCACCGAAUUUCUAACACCCUAAGAGAAAUUCUAAAGGGUUAGAAACUCCAAAACAACUAUUUCGAAAAUCUUCGAAAAACACACACACAAUAAGGUGAAAAGAAUACCUUUGAUCAAAUUACACUUGUCCAAAGCACAAAUCGAAGCUUCCAAACUUCAAAUCCAACCUACAAGAGUGUUCUACACUCAUUAAUUCCAACUCAAAAGCUUCCAAAUAAAAAGGCCCAAACAAAAUUGUGACACCCCAAUAAUCCCACAUCGAAUGGGAAUGGAGUUGUCAUUGGAUUUAUAAGAGACUUAGACACUAGUAAUAAUAACUGGGCUUAAGUAUUUUGGGCUGUGGUUGGGCCCAACGAGUUAUUAUUGCUAGUGGGCUGGGUCGUUACAUUUGGUAUCAGAGCCGAUUCACCAGCUGGACAUGUGUGGCGAGUCUCGGCUGAGCCAGGAUCUGGAUGAUGGGCUAGCGAGAUAAAUCUCACAUCGCCUGGUGAUCUUGGGCUGUAUGUGUGAUUGGACUGACGAGGACGUCAGGGCCUUAACGGGGGGAGUCUGUGACACCCCAAUAAUCCGACAUUGGAUGGGAAUGGCGUUGUUAUUGGGUUUAUAAGAGACUUAGACACUAGUAAUAAUAACUGGGCUUAAGCAUUUUGGGCUGUGAUUGGGCCCAACGAGUUAUUAUUGCUAGUGGACUGGAUCGUUACAAAAAUCCUAGUUUCUACAAAAUUAGGUUUCAUCACAAGAAAUCCACUAAGAGGUGAAUCAAAGGGAAGAUUAAACUACUAACCUUUCUUGAAGCUCCAAACCAAGUUAGAAGUGAGCUGGAAAGGUCACCAAAAAGUAAAGAGAAGCAAAACAGGUGAUUAAUCCUCUAAAAUCCAAGCAAAAAUGGAAGGAAAUCAAAGAGGGGAUGAGAAGAGGCUCCUUACCCUUCUCUCCUCAUGUUCCAGGCUCAGGGAACACAAGAGGGAGUGUGGGGUAUUUGUAGAGUAGUAACAAUUUCAAAAACACCCCUCAAGAACAAACCGUCAGUAAUCUGCAUUGCGUACCGGUGACACAGGAUGGGGUACCGGUACCAGGCAGCAUCACACGCAAACCCGAAUCUCGGGUUGGCUAGAAAACACACUGGGUACCGAUACCAGCGCAAUACAGUACCGGUACCAGACCCAGUACCGGUACUCGGGCAAUGCAGUACCGAUACUCUACCCUACAGAGUCCAACCCGAGAACGGCCCAAAUUCUACAAUUUAGAGAUUUUGGUGCUAAGUUUUCAUUCUCGCUCCUCGGGAUGCGAGUCAUAGGUCGGAACACAGUCAACGACCAUACAGAAAAUCUAAAGAGGCUGAGAUCACCAAUCAAACACUCGAACCUUACAAUUUGCUAAAUUUCAGUGUGUUACAUUAACUAACUAGGGUUAAAUAUUUUACCUAUUGUUAACUAAUUUUUUCUAACGGGUCCUACCGGCACUGACAUAUUUGAAAAUACUAGGAAUUUUACAGAAUAACAUAUGAAAGUUGAACUUCGUAGGAAUUUAUUUGCAAUUCACUAUAUUCGUAGGGACCUCUGUAAAAUUAAUCCUUAUUUUUACAACUAAUACGAUGAAUAGGAUCUAUAUUUUAAUAUAACUAUUCAAACACUAUUUUUUUAUUUCUGAAAACAAUCUAAUUUAAUCCAAAUGUAAAAUUAAUCUUAUAUUCGUUCAUUUUUGAAGAAUUGUACCAAUAUCAGGAAUAAGCAAAAUAAUUUAUCCUGAAACAAACAAUACCCAGGUGCAAGCCAUACUUUCUCCUUCAAUUAUUAUAAAUUCUAUGGUUAGUCCCUGUACUGUACAAAUAUUGCAAGCCAACCCUUAUACUUGUUACAUACACAUAGAAUGCAAACAGGGCGGAUCUGGCGGAGGACCCCAGCCUUGCCUCCCGCCCCAACUAUCAGAGUCCUGCCUUCCGUCCAGUUCCGAAUAUGCGACAGGUUAAAAAUAUAUUUUAUAAUCCGCCUCACCUCAUAACUCACCUCCCGCCGACGUCCUGAAUCCGCUCCGCCAAUUAAUAUUUUUAAAAAAAUUAUAAUAUUAUUAAUAUUUUGUAAAAUAUAAAUUAAUAAUUUUUAAUAAUAAUAAAUAAUAUUAUUAAGUUAUAUAUAUAAUUAAUAAUAUUAAUUAUAAAAAUAAAAAAUAUCAAUCACAAUUCGAAGCAAAAUUUAAAAGCUUCAAAUAUAUGAGAAAUGAGAGCGCCAACUUAUUUGUAUUUUACACUUUUUUUAUAAAUAUAUUAUGUUUUAGAAAUAUUUUUUAAAAAUAUAUACGAUUUUCGGAGUAAAUCAUGACAGAGCGGAUUCAGAGCAAGUCAAAAUUUUUUCGUUUACUGUCCCGAAUCCGUCUCGAAUUAUAAAAAUUAUUCUAUUUUUUAGUCGGAAUUCGUUUUUUUUUUUUUUUAUUUACUACUUUACUCAGAACGGACCGGAGCGGAAACUCCGCCAACCCUCAACCCUAAUCCAUUGGCAUCCCUACUUACACGUCCUUGGAUCAAACUUUAGGGCACACUUUACAAUUUAAUUAAAUUUAAUAAUAUUUUUUAAAUAAAAUUAUGUAUACAUCAAAUCAAUAUAUUUGAUGUGACAAUUGACAGCUGAGACAACAUAGCAUUAAACUCUAUACUAAAGUUGAAACUAAAUGUCGUUUCCCAUCGAGCCACAUGGUGGAUUUUCUCUCUCCCUCACAUGUUCUCUCUCCUUCACAUGGACCCACAUGGGCUAUAUUCAAGUGACAUGCAUGGACUCACAUGGGCUAUGAGUAGAAAGAGUUGGGGGGAAGAUGCAUGCAUUGUAAUAAUAAGAAAGAUAGCAAAAGUACAAAAAAUAUUAUAUGUACUAUGCAAUUUUUUGUUUUAUGAAUGAUGUUAAAUAAUAUUGCUAUAUAUAAAGUUAAGAAAAAAAGCAAGAGGGCAAGGAAUAUGCUGUGUAGUAUGAAAAAUUUUGUAAGAGAAAAGUUUAUGUUGUGCGUGAGAUACUAUUUUUAUUGGAGUUAGCAAAGUAAAAACAAUUUACAAAUAAUUCAUAGUGUAAUUGGAAUCAAAAUAGGAGAUUUAGAAUAACCAUAUUGCAAAGGAAUUUAACAGUGCGGCCACUUCUGAAAAUCAACUUAUUAUACCUAUUAAAAAUAGUGCUCAAGUGGAAAAUACUAUUGGCGAAUAUAAUCCUACCGAAAGCCAAUCAAGGUAUGAUUAAUAAACAAGUUAAGAACUGAUUAUAAAUUAAUGUUCUGUCUGUGGGAAAAAAAAUCUAAUAAUUAAUGUUCUGUCUGUUCAAAAAAAAUAAAAUUAUUGACUUGCAGUAUUUUGUCAAGCAACGAUAGUGAUUUGCCUAUUGAAACAUCUGCUGUAGCAAAAAAAUUACGUUUGUAAGUAUUAAUAUUUUUAAAAUAUUAUUUGUAUUUUUUAUUCCACCAUAUAUAUAUGUAUAUAUAUAUAUAUAUAUAUAUGUAUAUAUAUAUAUAUAUAUAUACGUAAUAUAUAUAUUAUAUAUAUAUAGAUAUAUAUAUAUAUAAUAUAUAUAAUACGUAUAAUAUAUAUAUAUAGUAUAUAAUAUAAUAUUAUUUAUAUAUAUAGAGCGAGGCUACCUAUACUAUCGGAAGCACGGAGCCUUCAUGCUUCGAGCUCGUUUUCGAUGUUGCGACUUUCGAAUCGUCGAUCGCUCGUUAAACUUGAUCUAGAGUAUUGGAGUACCUAGAAAAUAAAUUUUAUUAUUUUCGAUAUCAUUUGACUAAUGAUCGAAUGGGCUCAAAAUCAAUAAAUUUUAAUGGCCGUAGUGAGCCGUUUGCAAGUUUAACAGGUGUAGAAAUAUCCAAAUCACGUAAAAUUUGAUAGAAAAUUAUUUAUACAUAAUAAAACAAGAUCAAUAUCUUUGAUUUAAAAUUUAAUGUAUAUUAUUACAUUUUGUAAGAUUUUUAUUUUCAGCCGUUGAUUUUGAGCCCCUUCGUUCACAUAGGCAAAUGAUAUCGUAAAAUUAUAAAAUUAUUUUCUAGGUACUUCAAAUACUCUAGAUCAAGUUUAACGGAGCCGAUCGACGAUUCGAAAGUCGCAACAUCGAAAACGAGCUGGAAGCACGGAAGGCUCCGUGCUUCUAUAGCAUAGUAGCCUCACCUAUAUAUAUAUAUAUAUAUAUAUAUAUAUAUAUAUUAUAUAUUAUAUAUAUAUAUAAUAUAUAUAUAUAUAUAUUGUUCAUACUUAGCAGUUCGAAGACUGGAGAAGGACCAAGCAAAGUUAACACCCGCAAGAAAUCAAGUGGAACCGAUAGGCCAUAAUGAUCUAAGAACUGUUUUAUCAAUUAUAUUUGCAUUAUCAAAAACAUUAUAUCAUAUUAGAUAAUCUAUAGUAUAUAUUUAGUUAUCUUACAUAAUGUGAAUGUUAUAUAUAUCUGUAAUUUCGUAAUAAAUAAAUAUAAUUACAGUCAUAUUAUUAGCUCUCAAUAUUACGACCUCCGCCGCGAAAUGCGGGUCAUUACACUAGUUUAAUAUAUAAAAUAAAAAGUAUCACACUUGCGACAAUGUGAAAUACAUUUAUUAUAUAAAUGAACAUCAUAUGAAGGGCAUUAUUCCUAGGAUCUAGUAAAUAAAUUAAAAAAAUUAAUAAGAUAAUUGAUAUUUGAUUUGUGAUGAUAAUUCAGUAUUUUAUAAGUAAAGGAUAUCAUACCUAUGUCAAUUUUUUUUAGUUUUCUUAAAAGAGAGAAAUAAUUAGCUACUUGCUUUUCUCUCUCUAUUUUUUUUUAUUUUAUAAAUGAAACUCCAUGAAAAAUAUAAAAUAAUAAAAUUUCGAGCUUGAAAACUCGAAUACCAAUUACUAAGUCAUUGUAAAUAAAUUUAACAUACCAUUUGAUAAUUAUUUUAAGGUGAUAACUUAUUAUUUAAUAGAUAAGGUAUGCCAUAUAUAUAUGCCAAAUCAUUAUUAAUACGAUAAUAGUUUUUUGCAUUCUUUUAAUUCCUUUUUUAUAUUAUAUUUUAUUUUAUGAAAUUAAUAAUAACAUUUUUAUUGAUGAUAUAGAAAAUUUUAAAUGAUAAUUGAAAACGGACAUGACUGACAAUGCAAAUAUAUUUCAAAACCAUUUAUUUUUAUUUGUUUAAUUUUAAAUAUGUGGUAUACAAAACCAAAUCAAAAUAAUAGAUCAUUUUUAUAUUCAUUUUUAUCUUAUUGAAAUUAUGGUAUAAUUUAAGCACACCGUUCUUUUUUUAUUUAUAUUCUAUAUUAUUUAAUUAAUAAUAUAUUUUUGGGCUUUUUUUUGUAUUUGGCCCCUUUAAAAAAAAAAUUUUACAAAUAGUCCCAUCAAAUUUAUAAUUACAAAUUUAGCCCUAUUUUCGCCACGCAGGUAUCACAUCAGCACUACGUAAGCUAGAGGGGUGCUAAGUUGAACACGGUAAAUCAUUCACAAUGUUCAAAUGCGGUGAAUGAUUCACCGUGUUCCACACUUAUAUUCCCGUGUUUAAAUACGGUGAAUAGUUACCGUAUUCGUAUUUAUAUUUUUCUUAUUUUUUUAGCAAUAUAUAUAUUUGUAUUUUCUCCAAACACAAUAAACCAUUCACCGUAUUCAACUUAACAAACUGGCCCCAGCCGCGCUCACGUGGUGCUGAUAUGCUGCCUGCAUGGCAGGAUUAAUUAGGGCCACUUUUGUAAAUAUAAAUUUGCCGAGACUAUUUUUAAAAUAAAUUUUUUUCAAGAGGCUAAAUGCAAAAAAAAACCCUAUAUUCUUCAUAUUAUUUAAUUACACUCAAAAUUUAACAUAUUCUAUAUAUUACAAAAUAAAGAUUUUUUUUAGACAAAUUUCACGCAUAAGGUUAGAGAUCCAUAAACUUAAAUUUGUAUAUAGUAAAUUCGAUCAUGACGUAUGAUGUUGAAAGCCUGCCGAAUUUUGAACUCGGCAAGUUAUGUUACAUUACCCAACAAAUUUUUCUAACCUAUAAUUUAACAUAUUUUUUAAUAAAAUUUUAUUUUUUUUUAUAUAUAUUAUUAUUUUAUUAUAUAACGCUACAACAGAAUUAGAUUAUAGGGGCACAUGUUUAGGACACUUUUGUGUAAGUGUCUCAUUUAUGCAAAAAUUUUAAAAAAAAAUCUACUAAUGCCUAAAUAUAAAGUCCAAUCCAACAAAAAUAAAAAGUUACUCUACUCAACCCACCCCACCUAGCCCAUUCGGCCCAAUUACAAAUAGAAAAGAAAAAGAAAAGAAAAAUUGAUUACGAUUUUUCCUUCUCCCCUCAUUCAAUCGAUUGAAAUUCUAUAUGAAGAUCCAUUCCUCUCGCCCUCCUCCGCCACCGCAGCCAACGAGAUAGAGUUCCAACGGUUGCUAAAUAUUUAAAUAAAUGUUGGUAAAUUAACAGCAUUUUUUUUAGAUUAUAGCGACACUCUUUAACUGUCACUAUAUACCUAACGACCCCACAUAUAGCAACACUUUUUAAAAGUGUCGGUAAUUUAGCCAGCAAUAUUUUUUUUGACCUGUACCGAUAUUUAAAAAUGUCGCUAUAGACCGUUUUUGUUGUAGUGUAAUAAUAUGUAUAGAUAUAAUUUUCAGCAAAGGGUGGGUUUUGCACUACUGUGAUAUUUAAGCUAGGGUUUAUCCAUUGCUUGUGUUGGACCCAAGUUCACAUCAUAUCAAUGUUAUGAAAUAUCUAAUAUUAAAAUUCAAACAAAUCCAAAAGAUUAAUGCUAAAAAUAUGGACUCACUGCCAUCUAUAUAGAUAUCUUCUCGUUUUAUUCGGGAUUCUUUUUUUUCCAAAUAAAUUUUUAACUAUCUCCUCAUUUUCCAAAAUUAAAUCAUGUGGCUCCCAUAUAUCUGAUUCUAUUUUUCCACACUAAGCAGUUUUUUUCCUCCUUAAAACCAAUUAUGAGUAUUACAUCAAAGUCUAACACAUAUCCUUUAAACUCUUUAUAAGCCAACGAAACUUACUUAUCUGAGUCUAUAUAUGGGAGCCACAUGAUCCCCCUUCUCGCCCGCUCUGCCACCGACCGCAGCCAGUUGCAGACGAGGCCCAAGACAAGGCCCAACGGUCCUUCUUCCCCUGCUUCGGAGGCAUUCUUUCUCUUAGGGACAGCCCAGAGCCCAGCUUUGCUCAAGUCGGCUUUGCUCAAGGCGGACCCCCCCUUGGGACGGGUAACCCUUCUCGCCCGCUCCCCACGGGGGACUUCUUUGAGCCGGUCCUGCUUGGUGAUGGAGACGGCCGAGGUCUUUCUGUUGGGAACCCCGAUCUCUACGCCACUCGAGGCUCUCCUGGUGCUGCUGCUGCGAUGGGUUCUUGUGCCGGAGCUCCCCUCGAGAUGGGCCUCCUUCUUCGCACCGGCCGUUCCCGUGCUCUUGCGGAAUCUCUUUCUGCCCCGAUCCCGCCGGAAGGAGGUGACGGGGAGGAGGCCGGUGGGGCUGGGUAUCUUCCGAGCGUCAGGAGAGGAGCGACUAGGUCUAGUCCACGCGUGCGGGAUCCAGCCAACAUUUCGGCUCUUGAACGGGCGAAGCGUAGGAAAGCGAUCCUGCGGGAAGGUGUCAUCUCUAGCUCGGCGAAACUAGCUCGCAAAUGGAGCUCAAAAACGGUGCUGUCGAAGGGUGCCCGCUGCGGAGUGAAGCUCUCGGAGGUUGACGCGGAGGAGCUCCACAAGUUUAUGUUGAGCGGAUAAUUAGCUGAGGGGCGGGUUACUAUGUGGUUUUAUAUUUUGGGGUGUCGCUGUGUCUGAUGUUUAAUAUUAUCUCUUGGAAUGUUCGUAGUCUGAACGACCCGGUCAAGCGUCGUGCGGUUAAGACUGUCGUGUCUAAGCACUUUUGUUCCGUAGUUUGUUUUCAAGAAUCAAAAGUAGAUUCGGUAUCUAGAUCGUUUCUCCGCUCUUUCUGUGGCUCAAAAUUCGAUAGAUGUCAGUUUAUCCCUACUUGUGGGGCGUCGGGCGGUUUAAUCACUGCGUGGAAUUCUAAAUCUUUUUUAUGUUGGGAGGUUUUGGUGCGUGAACGCUCGCUCACCCUUAAUUUGAAGCAUGUUGCCAGCGGAAUGAUUUUUUUCCUUUCAAACGUCUAUGGGCCACCAACUUGGGACGGGAAGGAAGAGUUCUGUUCUGAACUUAUUUCACUGAGAGACUUUUGCUCCAAUAACAGAUGUCCUUAUUCUCAGAUCUCAUUUCAAACCUCGAGGUCAUUGAUCUACCCAUAUCCAACCAAUGUUUCACCUGGUCUAACAUGCAAAGCGCACCUUCCCUGGCCAAGCUGGACAGAUUUCUAGUGUCGACUGAAUGGGACCAAACUUUCCCUCAUGGCAGGGUCUCAGCACUGCCGAGGAUUACCUCGGAUCAUACCCCGAUAGUGCUGACUACUAGGGCCAGCCCGAAGCCGGGGAGAUUUCGGUUCGAGAAGGUCAAGCUCACUAAAGAGGAUUUCUCUGUUAGGGUACCGGUCUGGUAGAAUGAAAUCACCAGCAAGAGGUCGGCCAUCCUCACUCUUACGGCAAAACUCAGACACUGCAGGGUCAGAAUGAAAGAGUGGUGUAAGACGGAGUUCUACAGCAUUUCCAACGCUAUAAAGUAUAUUCAAGACGAUAUCCGUAGCAUCGACUUGAUUGAGGAACAGUCCUCCCUGUCACAGGAGCUUCGGGAUAAAAGGGUAAACCUUAAGGCUCAGCUUCAUCUCAUCCUUCAAGAAGAAGAAAUUCUAUGGAGAACGAGAGCGAAACAGCAUUGGCUUAAGGAGGGUGACAAGAACACUAAAUUUUUUCACGCGGUGGCCAAUGGUCGAAAACGAAGCAAUGCGAUAGAGUUUAUCGAAGAUGAUUCUGGCAAACCUAUCCACAACGACGUCCUAAAAAGAAACUAUUUAUUCCACGCCUUCUCACGCCUUUUCGGGCAAGAGGAAACAGGUCCUUCAACUGGCGGAGAUUGGAGUGAUCUGUACCGGGAGAAGUCUCUAACUGACCCGGACUCCCUUACUAGCCCUUUUACUAUGGAAGAAAUUAAGAAAGCUACCUUUCAGCUAGGUGGUGAGAAGGCACCUGGACCGGAUAGUUUUUCUCUAAUCUUCUUUCAACAUUUCUGGGAAACAGUUAAGGAUAACAUCUUCGAUUUAUUCAUAGAUCUCCAGGAAAACAAACUUUUCACGGCCCUGACGGACUACUCAUAUGUGUGUCUCAUCCCUAAAAGGGAAGGAGCUAGUAAGGUGAAUGACUUCCGACCGAUAUGCCUCAUUAAUGGGAUACAGAAGAUUAUCUCUAAAGUUUUGGCAAACAGACUCGCGUUCAUUUUACCGUCCAUCAUAUCGCCUGCACAAUCAGCUUUUUUGAAGGAUCGACUCCUAGCGGACUCGUUUGUUACGGCGAGUGAACUCCUAAAUUGGUGUGCAAAAUCAGAGAAGGAGUGCGUUUGCAUUAAGGUGGAUUUUGAGAAGGCUUACGACAAUGUCAGAUGGACCUUCCUGAAAAGCGUAAUGCGAUGGAUUGGAUUCAGCGAUAAAUGGUGGUACUGGAUAGAGCAAUGUAUAUGCAACGCUAAAAUCGCAGUUCUUGUAAAGGACUCGCCGACAGCUUGGCUGAAAGCAAGGAAGGGGCUUAGACAAGGAGACCCGCUAUCCCCCUACCUAUUCAUCUUGGUGGCCGACUGCCUCGCCAGGAUCACGGAGACAGCGAGGAACAACAACAUGUUCCAAGGUAUUGGUCCAACAAUGGAUUGUCAAACUGUAAUCCUCCAAUACGCGGAUGACACUUUAUUUUUUGCUGAACCUAAAAAGGCCGCUAUGCGUAGUUUGCUUUUUAUUUGGAAAAUGUUCGAGUGGGCAUCAGGCCUUAAGAUAAAUAUGAUUAAGACGGAACUUUACUAUCUAGGCCACAAUGCUAGCAAGGCCUGUGGACUAGCAGAUAUUUUGGGUUGUAAAGUUGGCAACCUGCCAUUUCGUUACUUGGGAUUGCCGUUACACAUCAAACCCCUCCGAAGAUUAGAUUGGACGCCGAUCGUUAACCGUAUUGAGGCGCGCAUUGAAGGGUGGAAGGCUAAAACUCCUCUCACACGGGGGUAGACUCACCUUGGUCAACUCGGUGCUCUCGAAUAUACCUUUUUUCUUCUUCGCUAUCUUCAAAGCACCGCAGUGGGUCCUGAACCGGAUAGAGGCCCUGAGAAGAGCUUUCUUUUGGAAAGGGUGCGCCAAGAUUUCAGGGGGGUCAUGCCUAAUUGCCUGGAAAUCAAUUUGUAAAAGCAAAAAAGAAGGGGGACUGGGGAUCCUAGAUAUGGAAGCUAUGAAUAUAGCUUUAUUAACUAAAUGGUGGUGGCGUUUCUUCAAAGAUCCACAGCUGCAAUGGGGAAGGUUGGUAAGAGCGCUAUAUUACACCAGAAGAAGGCCGUUACUGGAGGGAAAAGGGUUCAGACCUCACUCUCAGUGGUGGAGAAGCGUAAUGACAUGUCGACAGAUAUUUCGUCGCAGCGUAUCGUACACGCUCGGCAAUGGAAAUUUUUGUAGGUUAUGGACUGACAUUUGGAUCGAAGAAACCCCCCUGUGUACUCGGUUUCCACGAAUUUACUCCAAGGUGGUUAACAAUGGGGCUACGGUCUCACAAUGCUGGAAUAGAAUAGGGUGGAGAUGGCAGUUCAUACUCAGAGGCAUUACUAUGAACGUCGACAGUGUGUCUAGACAACAGAUCAUGGCUUUCAAAAUCCUUUUGCAGCGAUAUUGCCUGACGGACUCACCGGAUAUAUUAUGGUGGCGAUGGACGUCUAACCGAUUAUUCACAGUCAAAUCUCUCUACGAAUUCUUUACUGACGCUGGCCAGAGACAACCAACCAACGACAAGCUGUGGAGUCUAAAACUCUCAACCAAAAUCAAAAUAUUCAUCUGGAUCCUACUACGCAAGAGAUUACUUACCGCUGAUAGACUGAUACGCAGAGGGUGCCCGGUGAACGAGUACUGCAUUUUCUGCUCAUUCUCACCUGAGAACUGCGAUCACCUUUUCAAGGAUUGUGUUUUUGUUAGAUACCUCCAAAUUAGCGUCGAUGGAUUGGGUGUCAGCGAUUUAAGAAUAGGGGAUGUUAAGCAACUUUGGACCGACACUGUGGAUUCCUCUAAUGCUGAACAGAGAUCGUUAAGGCUCACACGGUUGGCGGCAAUCUGGUGGGUAGUUUGGACGGAGCGCAACAAGAUCGUCUUCAACGAGGACGCUCCGGACGCUAACCGUGCAAUUGGGCGGAUAGUUGCGCUAACGAAGACUUGGACCGAGGCGAUUGUCCCGUAACCACUCUUUAUUAUCUCGAGUCGGGCUUUUGUUUACCUAUCUAUACUGCUUUUUAUUGUUCUUUUGUUGUUGUUUACUUAUCUGUACUGCUUUUUAUUAUUUUUUUGUUGUUUUUCCGAUUUCGGUAGGGGGCCUUAGCUGUCUCCAUUAUGUACGCUAAAUUCAUUUCGCUUAAUGAAUGAAGCAGGUAGCUCGCUACCUUGUUCUCAGAAGAAAAAAAAAAAAAAAAACUCUUUUAUGAGCAAGUGGUUGGUAUCCGAGACCCAAAUUUGAAUCCUAGUUGAUUCACAUUUCUAGCAAGUUUAUUUCUAAAUGAAAUAAACGAAGCGGGUAGCGUGUUACUUUUUUUUUUUUCAAAAAAAAAACUCUUUUAUGAGUACACCAUAUUACUAUUGUGCCACAUUAUUAUAACUCCUCUAUAAUAGUCUCUUAUAUAUAUAUUUAUUUACAAGAGUUACUAAAGCAUCUCAAUAUAUAUCUCCACACUUUGGAUUUUUUUUGUGAUUUUGUUGGUAGGUGUCCGGUUUUAGAAAAAAAUACCAAUUACAAGUCUAACUUACUUUUUGCAAAAGCAUGAUAUAAUUACGGGAAACUUGCACGUUCAGUCCUCAAAAUAUGAGAUGGGUGACACUUUAUUAAUUGUAGCAAUUUUGGCUCCAGCUUUCAGAAUUACUGGAGUUAAGUUCCAAAAUCCAAUUCGGUUGAUUAUAUAUUGACGCAUUGCUAAAAGUGAUAUAAAAUCUUCUUCUUUUUUUUUUUUUUUUGAGAAAGACAUCUCGUUGAUCUCUUCAUUCAAAUGAAAAAUGAACUUAGCUACAUAGUUAUGACAACCAGGCCUCUUUUUUUAAAAAAAGAAAAAGAAAAAAAAAAAACUAUCUAUACUGUUCAACCCAAAGCAAUACCAAGCCUUGGAUGUUGGAUAGCACAAUGUUGAUAAUUCUUGUUUGUAUCUAUGAAAAUUACAAUGUUCCACUCUAACCAAUCUAACCAAUUACAGAUCACUAAAUUACUACAAGUGACGUCAUCCCUCCUCUUUCUACAUUAAUAAUUGGUCCCCACACUUAGACGACAUCCUCCUGUCCCACAUGUCUCUAACCUCUCUCCUAUCUUGUCUUGUAAUUAAACAUCCUGCCAUUUGCUGACGUGGUAAUUAAAAAGAACAUGUGUAGAUGCACUUGAUGAAUAGGUGACCUAAAUGGCUAGCUUCUAAAUCAUAAUCACAUAUAUAGUACAUAUGUAUAGAGUAGGGUUGUAUCCUCGAUCGAACACCCUCUUUUAUUUUCGAGAUCAUCUGCAUGUUGUGGGAGUUCUUUUCCUAAUUAAGAACCAUUCACACUGCUCAGUGGCAGAGCAUUCAUUGGCCGCAUCUUCUUUGAUUGUUAGUCUAUUUGGUCAACUAAAUUAAAUUGCAGGACUUGAUUGAAAUAAGUUAAAGUUUGAAUACUGUAUUUGUCCAACAAAAAAAAUUAGAGUUGCUGAUGAGAAAGAAAGUGGGUUUCGGGGGUGGAGUGGGUGCAUGGUCUCCUGGAAUCAAUAUCUGCAGGUGGGCUAACCCUAGAUGUAGAGGUGGGAUGGAAGUCGAUCUGUGAUGCAAGGUUUGAUGUUAAUUGAGAAUUUAGGGUUUAGAGUUUAGAAUCGAUUGGUUUUAGCCAAUUAAUUAGCACAUAUCACUCAUCAAUUAAUGCAUUAAGUUAUUGCUUCAUGUGAAAAUUAUUUUUCACAUAUGAAUAUAUAUAUAUAUAUAUAUAUACCUAAUUUGGCUAGCCAUUUGGAAACAAUUUUAUAAUUUAAAUGAACCGCUCAUGUCCGAAAUUCUUUAAAUUUUGUUUCACUAGAUAAGUGAAAAUAUAGAAGAAAAAAAAAACUUCAUCUCCGCUUUUAAUAACUGAUCAAUAUGAUCACGUACGUAAGUUUGUAUUAGAUUUGCAUUUACGUAAAACAAGCACGUUCAUUUAAGAAUAAUUUAGACUUAAUGCAACCAUGGCCUUUAUUUAGUCGCACUAAUCAAUUGUGAGGAAAUUAUUAAUUGUUACUGUACUAGAAAUAGCCACGUUAAUUUAUGGAGUACACGUGGAACCCAGUAUUUAUUAACUCUUAUCUUCUAAGUUAUCCUCUCAUAAUCCUCAGUAGUGCACUAACACGAUUGCCAUUAAUCUUCAUGUCACUUUAGCUUGUUAAAGAAGCACUUAUUUGUAGCUUAAUUCACCUCAAUAAUUAACAUCUCAAACACAUCCGCAAACACCAUGCCACUCCCAGUACCCAACCAAGAAGAGAACAACACUGCAACACCACCAACAUGGGCUUCGCAAACCAAACAAGCGAUAAUUUCCGAGCUCCGAAAGCAGCGGUCCGUCGCCGCGCCGCUGAUCCCGAUGAACUCGACGUGGUUCGCGCGGACGGCAAUCACCACCGCCUUCCUCGGCCGCCUCGGGGAGCUCCCCCUCGCUGCGGGGACCCUCGGGUUCACCUUCGCGAACGUCACGGGCUUCUCCGUCCUCUCGGGCCUUUGCUGGGCCAUGGAGCCCAUUUGUGGCCAAGCCCAUGGGGCCCACAACAAAACUCUCCUCAACAAGACCCUAUUCAUGACAAUUAUCCUCCUACUAGCUGCUUCUCUCCCUAUAUCCUUUCUCUGGCUCUAUGUAGAUAGAAUACUAGCACUCUUUGGCCAACAAAAAGAAAUUGUCACCCUAGCUAAACACUAUGUACUGUUCCUUCUCCCUGACCUUAUAAUCAAUUCAUUUCUUUCUCCUUUUAAAGCUUAUUUAAGCUCACAAGGUGUUACACUCCCCAUAAUGUUGAGCUCGGCUAUUGCACUAUCUUUGCACGUCCCGUUCAACAUCUUUUUGUCGAAAACUAAGGGGCUCGAGGGGAUCUCCAUGGCUAUCGGGCUAACCGAUCUCGUCGCGACGACAACUUUAGGGAUAUAUAUCUUUGUAACGAAUGCGGGAAUCGAGAAAGGAGAUGGCGGAGAAGCAGAAGUGCUUAAAGAGCCAUGGUGGCGCAUUCGGAAGGCGAGCGAGUGGGCGCGACUUUUGAAGCUCGGCGCACAAUGUUGUGCCACGUGCUGCCUCGAGUGGUGGUGCUACGAGAUCCUAACCCUAACCGCCGGGCGGCUGCCCAGCGCACGGCAGAGCGUGUCGGUGCUAGCGAUCGUGCUGAACUUUGACUACCUGCUGUACGGAGUGAUGGUCUCGCUCGCAACUUGCGUAUCCACCCGCGUGUCCAACGAACUGGGCGCGGGACGUCACGGGCCGGCCCGAGAGGCCGGUUACGUGUCUCUGGGCUUGGGUAUCUUAUCGGGCCUCUUAGGCGGGUCGGCGAUGGUGGGCUUUCGCGGAAAUUGGGGCCCGUUGUUUACCCAUGAGAAGGUUAUUAUUGAAGGUGUGAAGAAGAUGUUAAUGUUGAUGGCUAUUGUGGAGGUGUUUAAUUUCCCUAUAGCAGUGUGUGGGGGGAUGGUUAGGGGUACGCAUAGGCCAUGGCUGGGCAUGUGCAGUGUGGUAGGGUAUUAUUUGGUGGGCCUACCAUUGGGCAUCAUAUUGGGCUUUAAAUUUGGGCUUGGGCUUAGUGGGCUCUUAAUGGGCUUUGUGGUGGGGAGUUUUUGUAGUGCUAUUGUAUUGGGUGUAGUGGUUGCACAUGUUGAUUGGGAAGAUGAAGCUAGUAUAGCCAAAGAGUUGGCUUGUGAUAGGAGAGAGAGUGGAAGUGUUAGUGAGGAGAUAAAUGAAGGAUGAGAAAUUUAUUUAUGCUGCAUUUUUCAAAAAAAUUUCGAUCUUCUUUUUAUUGGAAAAUGGAUGUAAUUUUCAUAUGUUAUAUAUAGUAUGUUUGUUUCUUCUUUUUAGUUUGAUUAUUCUAUGUAUCUUGUGGUAAGAGAGGUAUAAGAAAUGAUUAUACAUGCUAAUGUAUUUGAAAGGGAAUGUUAGAUUUAGCGGGUGUCUGUUUGACAAAGCUUUUGUUGGGAGAAAAAAAAAAAUAAAAAAGAGAAUGUCAUCUAAAACUAAAAAUUUCUGCAAACUUUUGUUAAUGUGAACUACUGAUGUUGAAAUGCUAAACUCAACGCCAAAGCGGUGACGGUUCUCAUCAUCAUUUGUUUUUCCACAAGGAUCUGUCGUUGGCAAAGUUUAUUGGCAAAGUUAGCAAAGUGCUACAUUAUUCUAUGGUUUGCAUUUAACCACCAAAUUGUGAAGCAAUAUUGUACUUUACCACCUUUCUUAUGCAAGCUUUUAUGGAAAAUUAAAACAUGACCCGUGGAACGACAAAGUGUUGAUUUUGGACUACAACAUAUUAUAUAUAGAGAGAGAGAGCGUCCGGCUGCUAUGCUAUCAAUAGCACCAAGCAUUUGGUACUAUCAAAUUUUCUGCCGUUAGAUUAACCCCUUUAAUUAUUUUUACCCGUUAGAUCAUACUAUUCAACUAACCACCCACUCAACCCUAGGGAGCCCACAUUAUCCUAACCGCACAUCUCUUAAUCCAAUCGCCAAAAACUUGGUAGCAUCAAUGACUUGGUGCUAUUAAUAGUAUAUUACCCUAGUUAUAUAUAUAUAUAUAUAUAUAGAGUUCGGCUACUAUGCUAUUAAUAGCACGAAGCAUUUGGUGCUACCAAGUUUUUCGCCGUUAGAUCUAUCCUUUCGAUCAUUUUCACCCGUUAGAUUAUACUAUUCAAUCAACCACCCACUCAACCCUAGGGGACCGACAUCAUCCUAACCGCACAUCACUUAAUCCAAUGGCCAAAAACUUGGUAGCACUAAUGACUUGGUGCUAUUAAUAGAAUAUUAGCCUAGUUCUAUAUAUAUAUAUAUAUAGAUAUAUAUAUAUAUACUAUUAAUAGUAUAUAUAUAUAUAAGCACAGCAAUACAACAAGUAAACUAAUUACCUGGUGCACAGCAAUACAACAAGUAAACUAAUUACCUGGUGCACAGCAAUACAACAAGUAAACUAAUUACCUGGUGCACAGCAAUACAACAAGUAAACUAAUUACCUGGUGCACAGCAAUACAACAAGUAAACUAAUUACCUGGUGCACAGCAAUACAACAAGUAAACUAAUUACCUGGUGCACAGCAAUACAACAAGUAAACUAAUUACCUGGUGCACAGCAAUACAACAAGUAAACUAAUUACCUGGUGCACAGCAAUACAACAAGUAAACUAAUUACCUGGUGCACAGCAAUACAACAAGUAAACUAAUUACCUGGUGCACAGCAAUACAACAAGUAAACUAAUUACCUGGUGCACAGCAAUACAACAAGUAAACUAAUUACCUGGUGCACAGCAAUACAACAAGUAAACUAAUUACCUGGUGCACAGCAAUACAACAAGUAAACUAAUUACCUGGUGCACAGCAAUACAACAAGUAAACUAAUUACCUGGUGCACAGCAAUACAACAAGUAAACUAAUUACCUGGUGCACAGCAAUACAACAAGUAAACUAAUUACCUGGUGCACAGCAAUACAACAAGUAAACUAAUUACCUGGUGCACAGCAAUACAACAAGUAAACUAAUUACCUGGUGCACAGCAAUACAACAAGUAAACUAAUUACCUGGUGCACAGCAAUACAACAAGUAAACUAAUUACCUGGUGCACAGCAAUACAACAAGUAAACUAAUUACCUGGUGCACAGCAAUACAACAAGUAAACUAAUUACCUGGUGCACAGCAAUACAACAAGUAAACUAAUUACCUGGUGCACAGCAAUACAACAAGUAAACUAAUUACCUGGUGCACAGCAAUACAACAAGUAAACUAAUUACCUGGUGCACAGCAAUACAACAAGUAAACUAAUUACCUGGUGCACAGCAAUACAACAAGUAAACUAAUUACCUGGUGCACAGCAAUACAACAAGUAAACUAAUUACCUGGUGCACAGCAAUACAACAAGUAAACUAAUUACCUGGUGCACAGCAAUACAACAAGUAAACUAAUUACCUGGUGCACAGCAAUACAACAAGUAAACUAAUUACCUGGUGCACAGCAAUACAACAAGUAAACUAAUUACCUGGUGCACAGCAAUACAACAAGUAAACUAAUUACCUGGUGCACAGCAAUACAACAAGUAAACUAAUUACCUGGUGCACAGCAAUACAACAAGUAAACUAAUUACCUGGUGCACAGCAAUACAACAAGUAAACUAAUUACCUGGUGCACAGCAAUACAACAAGUAAACUAAUUACCUGGUGCACAGCAAUACAACAAGUAAACUAAUUACCUGGUGGUCGAUCGAUGAUCGAUUGUGAAAUCUCGACCGGUACUAGUUUUCUUUGACCAGAUUAAUUAGGCUCUUGCCGAUACAUGAUCUAUCAAGCUUCUUGCUCUUAUAUGUUUCACGUGGCCCCAUCUACAUGAUUAGCAAUUAACGUAGUUGUUGGUGUAACGCCCCCAAUAGUACUGAUUCCGAUCAAUUUAUAUGAGACCUAUACGCUAGUAAUAAUAAUCCGACUUAAGCAUUUUGGGCCGAUGGUUUGAGCCUAACGAGUUAUUGUUGCUAGCGGGGCUGAUCGUUGCAAUUGGUAUCAGAGGCGAAUACCAGCCGGAAAUGUGAGAGCUGAGUGCUAUGCGGGACAAAGUACUACACCAACGGGUUUGGUCGGAGUCACCUCUUGAACCCGUAGGAGCCAUCUCUAGAAUCUCACAUAGCUUCGUAAUUCUGGUCCUGGUUUGUUUGCCUGUGAUCUGGUUUGGACCCGACGAGAACGUCAGGAUCUAAAUAGGGAGAGUUUAUAAUGCCCCAAUAGUCCCACGUCGGAUGAGAUACUGAUUUUGAUCGCGUGACUCUCUUUAUAUAUCUUUGCUAGGUGCUUCUUUUUUUUCCUUUUUUUUUAUUUUGUGUGUGUGUGUGUGUGUGUGUUUUGUUUGUGAUGAGAUACUGAUUUUGAUCGCGUGACUCUCUUUAUAUAUCUUUGCUAGGUGCUUCUUUUUUUUCCUUUUUUUUUAUUUUGUGUGUGUGUGUGUGUGUGUGUUUUGUUUGUGAUGAGAUACUGAUUUCGAUCAGUUUAUAUGAAGCCUAUGCGUUAGUAAUAAUAACUAAAUUUAAGCAUUUUGGGCCGGUGGUUGGGCCCAACGAGUUAUUAUUGUUAGCGGGUCAGGUCGUUGCAAUUGGUAUCAGAGCCGAAUACCAGCCGGACAAAGUGCUAUACCAACGGGUUUGGUGAGAGCCACCUCUUGAACCUGUAGGAGCCACCUCUAGAAUCUCACAUCGCCUGGUAAUGGUUCUGAUUUGUAACGCCCCUAAUAGUCUCACAUCGGAUAGGAUACUGAUUCUGAUCAGUUUAUAUGAGACAUACACGCUAGUAAUAAUAACCCGGCUUAAGCACAAACCAUCGGCUCAAAAUGCUUAAGCCGGGUUAUUAUUACUAGCGUAUAGGCCUCAUAUAAACUGAUCAUAAUCAGUAUCUCAUCCGAUGUGGGACUAUUGGGGGCGUUACAGUGACAAACACAAAAAUUUAGCACAACUGAGCUGGCACGGAUGAAACUGGUUAGGAUAAAUUCUGAUUAAUUUUAACACCAGAUUCGAUGGGAUGCGAAUAUUUUUUAUUUUGAAAAAAAUCGUUCGAAAACAAAAUUAUAUUUAAACAAANGAAAACCGAAUUACAUUAAUAUUAUAUACACAUUUUAUCUAAAUUAGUUGUUAAUAUUUCAUAUUUUUGAUCAAAUCUUGAUUGCAUUACAUUUUUCAAAAUUAUUUAUUUAUGAUCAAGGUUUUUGUGUGAUAAUUUCAUAAUGAUUCUAUUUUGAUUCUUAAAUUAUUAUGAAUUGAUUCAUAAGAAAAUAGACAAUCUAAAACUUAAUUGCAAAACCGAACCAACCCGAAUUAAUUCAAUUUGGUUUGGAUCAGUUCCAAUAAUAACCGGUUCAACUCAGUUGGGUUGUAAAUUUUUUUCAAACCAAAGAAUUCGGUUCGGUUUAAGAAUUACCUAAAAAUCAAACAAAACUGAACCGAUUACUCCCAUACAGAUAAGCUACACUAUAGACCGUCUCUAGCACAAGUGACAUAACAGCUUGAUGGUAGUAUCCGAGAUUUCAAAUUCGAAUUCUUACUAUUUUACUUUCCAACUAAUCUGAAAACAAAUAAAUGAAGUGGUAACAUGCGAUCAUUCUCUAAGUAAGCUAUGCUAAAAAAAACUUUUUUAAUUAAAUUAUUUGCAAAACUAACAUAACUUAUGUUUUAAGGACACAAAAUGCCAAUGACAAACAACUCAUCUAUCAAUUAAUAUUACCAUUUGAUCCAAUAGAAUAAGCAACAACCAUCUAAAAAAACCAAAUAAACAAUUGCUCAUGUACCCAAUAGGAAAGCAAAUGUAGAGUUUUAAACAAUAGCAUAGCAUGCACCAUGUGAUGGAUUGGGCAUGAUUGACCCCCCCAUGUGUCGCAAGUGUUAAGCUACCUUAUUAUAAUUCAUACAAUAACACCAAUCCACAAGAAUCUCCUUUUUUUUUUUUUUUUUUUUUUUUUAAGGAUCAUGUUGAUAUUUGGUUCCAUUAAUUAAUGUCCUUUCGAAGUGGAACCGAGUCGAUUUGAUUUCGUUUAAUUUGAUGUGUUUGCGGGUUUGGGUAGGAGUUGUGUAAGUUUGAGACCAGUUUAGUAAUUUCUUUUAGGGUUAAUUAUAUACAGCUCUCUAUAAACAUAUCGAAUAGCAAAUAUAUCCUUACAAAGUUCAACAUUUUAUAUUUAUUUUCGCUUAAGUUUUAACAUUUUCAAAUAUAUCCCUACUGUAGAGAUCCAUUAAAAAAAUAUAAUUAAUUAUAGUUAAAAUACUUAACCCUUUUUAGUGAAUGAGGUAAAUUGACAUUUAUGUUUUUCUUAUAUUAUUUGUGAUGGUAGAAAAGAAGAAAAUGACCAUUAAAAAUUUUUUAGAGAAUAUUUCUGCAUAAUUUUAAUAGUUAAGGAAGAUAUUUGUAAUGGCAAAAAUAUCAUGUCACUUAUCUUUUAUUAAAAAAAUAAAUAAUGCUUUAAUGUCGACAAAUCAAAGAGGGAAAUAUAAAUAUCACUGGACUUCUAUAGAAAUAAAUAUAAAAAGUUGAACUGAACUUUAUGAAAAUAUAUUUGCUAUUCGGUAUGUUUACAAAAAACUGUAUGAAAUUGGCCCUUUUUUUUUUUCGUUCCUAUAGUUGAUAAAAAUGAAGAACGUAAAACACUACAUGCUUCAUUUUCAAUAUCGGAAUCCAUGAAAUAUUGGUCUUUCACUACAGCAAAAACGGUGUAUAGCGACGCUUUUAAAUAUAGGUACAUGUCAAAAAAGUGCUGCUAGGUAAAAUUACCGACAAUUUUAAAAAUUGUUGCUAUAUGUGGGAUCGCUAAGUAUAUAGUGACAGUUAAAGAGUGUCACUAUAACCUAAAAAGGUGCUGCUAAUUUACCAACACUUAUUUAAGCAUUUAGCAACCGCCGAAACUCUAUCUCGUUGGCUGCGGUCGCGGAGGAGGACAACAGGAAAGGCUCUUCGUCUAGAAUUUCAGUGGAUUGAAUGAAGAGAGAAGAAAAGAUGGUAAUUGAUUUUUCUUUUUUUUUUUCUUUUCUGUUUAUAAUCGGGUCAAAUGGACUGGGUGUGGUGGGUUGAGUAGAGUAAUCUUUUAUUUUUGGUUGGAUUGGGCUUUAUAUUUAGGCAUAAGUAGAUGUUUUUUUAAGUUUUAGCAUAAAUGGAACACUUACUCAAAAGUGUCACAAACAUGUGUCCCUAUAACCUAAUUCUGUUGUAGUGUUUGGUCAUGCAGUAUUAAAAUGUAGCAUUAAUU